Molecule: ribosomal RNA, 495 nt
Filed under: uncultured bacterium
Lineage: Bacteria
Description: partial 16S ribosomal RNA
Rfam family: Bacterial small subunit ribosomal RNA
Source: RNAcentral
AUUGAACGCUGGCGGAAUGCUUUACACAUGCAAGUCGAACGGUAGAGGGGGCAACCUCUUGAGAGUGGCGAACGGGUGAGUAAUGUAUCGGAACGUGCCCAGUCGUGGGGAUAACGUAGUGAAAAUUACGCUAAUACCGCAUACGAUCUAUGGAUGAAAGCGGGGGAUCGCAAGACCUCGCGCGAUUGGAGCGGCCGAUAUCAGAUUAGGUAGUUGGUGAGGUAAAGGCUCACCAAGCCAACGAUCUGUAGCUGGUCUGAGAGGACGACCAGCCACACUGGAACUGAGACACGGUCCUGACUCCUACGGGAGGCAGCAGUGGGGAAUUUUGGACAAUGGACGCAAGUCUGAUCCAGCCAUUCCGCGUGCAGGACGAAGGCCUUCGGGUUGUAAACUGCUUUUGUACGGAACGAAAAAGCUCUUAUUAAUACUAGGAGUCCAUGACGGUACCGUAAGAAUAAGCACCGGCUAACUACGCGCCAGCCGCCGCCGUAA